Molecule: long non-coding RNA, 2963 nt
Filed under: Malus domestica (apple)
Lineage: Eukaryota; Viridiplantae; Streptophyta; Magnoliopsida; Rosales; Rosaceae
Description: long non-coding RNA (MDOM_LNC010379)
Source: RNAcentral
UGUACUUUUGACACCAACUAAGCAUUUCAUCUUAUGAGAACUCAUUCAUAACAUCUUAUUAGCGUAUUGUAUGUGUUUCUUUGCUUAAGUUGCAAAGCUUGUCAAACACACGCUCUUUUAAUACCGCGAGUACUUAAAACAGCGCAAAUACACUCCAAAUAGUGUACUUUUGACACCAAAUAAGAAUUUGAUUUCUUGAGAACUCAUUCUUAUCAUCUUAUUUGCGUAUUAUAUGUGCUUAUUUACUAAAGUUCCAAAGAGUAUCAAACACACGCUCGUUUUAAAGCACGAAUGCUUAAAACAGUGCAAAUACACUCCAAAUAGUGUACUUCUGAUACAAAAUAAGCAUUUGAUCUCUUCAGAACUCAUUCUUAACGCCUUAUGAGCGUACUAUAUGUGUUUAUUUGCUUAAGUUCCGAAACGUGUCAAACGCAUGCUCGUUUUAUACCACGAAUGGUUAAAACAAUGCAAAUACACUCCAAAUAGUGUACUUUGGACACCAAAUAAGCAUUUGAUAUGAUGAGACCACAUUCGUAAAGUCUUAUUAGCAUAUUAUAUUUGUUUAUUUGCUUAAGUUCCAAAGCGUAUCCAACGCACACUCGUUUCAUCCCACGAAUGUUUAAAACAGUGCAAAAGCACUCCAAAUAGUGUACUUCCGGCACCAAAUAAGCAUUUGAUCUUUUGAGACCUCAUUCUUAACGUCUUUUUAGCGUAUUAUAUGUGUUUGUUUGCUUAAGUUCCAAAGCAUGUCCAACGCACUCUCGUUUUAUCCAAUGAAUGCUUAAAACAGUGAAAAUACAUUCCAAAUAGUGUACAUUUGACCCCAAUUAAGCAUUUCAUCUUAUCAGAACUCAUUCAUAACAUCUUAUUAGCGUAUUGUAUGUGUUUAUUUGCUUAAGUUGCAAAGCUUGUCAAACAUGCGCUCUUUUAAUCCCGCGAAUACUUAAAACAGCGCAAAUACACUCCAAAUAGUGUACUUUUGACAUCAAAUAAGCAUUUGAUGUUUUGAGCACUCAUUCUUAUCAUCUUAUUUACGUAUUAUAUGUGCUUAUUUACUUAAGUUCCAAAGUGUAUCAAACACACACUCGUUUUAAAGCACAAAUGCUUAAAACAGUGCACAUACACUCUAAACAGUGUACUUUUGAUACAAAAUAAGCAUUUGAUCUCUUGAGAACUCAUUCUCAACGUCUUAUGAGCAUACUAUACAUGUUUAUUUGAUUAAGUUCCAAAGAUUGUAAAACGCACGCUCGUUUUAUACCAGGAAUGCUUAAAACAGUGCAAAUACACUCCAAAUAGUGUGCUCUUGACAACACAUAAGCAUUUGAUAUUUUGAGAACUCAUUCAUAACGUAUUAUUAACGUAUUAGAUGAGUUAUUUGCUUAAGUUCCAAAGCGUAUCCAACAGACACUCGUUUUAUCCCACAAAUGAUUAAAACGGUGCAAAAGCAUUCCAAAUAGUGUACUUUGGACACCAAAUAAGCAUUUGAUCUUUUGAGAACUUAUUCUUAAUGUCUUAUUAGCAUAUUAUAUGUGUUUGUUUGCUUAAGUUCCAAAGCAUAUCCAACGCACUCUCAUUUUAUCCAGUGAAUGCUUAAAACAGUGUAAAUACACUCCAAAUAAUGUACUUUUGACACCAACUAUGCAUUUCAUCUUAUCAGAACUCAUUCAUAACGUCUUAUUAGCGUAUUGCAUGUGUUUAUUUGCCUAAGUUGCAAAGCUUGACAAACGCACGCUCUUUUAAUCCCCCGAAUGCUUAAAACAGCGCGAACACACUCCAAAUAGUGUAUUUUUUACACCGAAUAAGCAUUUGAUGUUUUGAGAACUCAUUCUUAUCAUCUUAUUUACGUAUUAUAUGUGCUUAUUUAUUGAAGUUCCAAAGCGUAUCAAACACAGACUAGUUUUAAAGCACAAAUGCUUAAAACAGUGCAAAUACACUCCAAAUAGUGUACUUUUGAUACAAAAUAAGCAUUUGAUCUCUUGAGAACUCAUUCUAAACGUCUUAUGAGCGUACUAUAUGUGUUUAUUUGCAUAAGUUCCAAAGCUAGUAAAACGCACGCUCGUUUUAUACCACGAAUGUUUAAAACAGUGCGAAUACACUCCAAAUAGUGUGCUUUUGACACCACAUAAGCAUUUGAUCUUUUGAGAACACAUUCGUAACAUCUUAUUAAUGUAUUGGAUGAGUUUAUUUUCUUACGUUCCAAAAUGUCUCCAACGAAUGCUCGUUUUAUUCCACGAAUGCUUAAAAUAGUGCAAAGACAAUCUAAAUAGUGUACUUUUGACUCCCAAUAAGCACUUGGUCUUUUGAGAACUCAUUCUUAACAUCUUAUUAGCGUAUUAUAUGUGUUUAUUUGCUUAAGUUCCAAACAAUAUCCAUCGCACGCUCCUUUUAUCCAACGAAUGCUUUAAACAGUGCAAAUACACUCCAAAUAGUGUACUUUUGACACCAACUAAGCAUUUCAUCUUAUGAGAACUCAUUCAUAACAUCUUAUUAGCGUAUUGUAUGUGUUUAUUUGCUUAAAUUGCAAAGCUUGUCAAAGCACGCUCUUUUAAUCCCACGAUUGCUUAAAACAACGCAAAUACAAUCCAAAUAGUGUACUUUUGACACCAAAUAGGCAUUUGAUGUUUUGAGAACUCAUUCUUAUCAUCUUAUUUGCACAUUAUAUGUGCCUAUUUACUUAAGUUCCAAAGCGUGUCAAACACAUGCUCAUUUUAAAGCACGAAUGCUUAAAACAGUGCAAAUACACUUCAAAUAAUGUACUUUGACACCAAAUAAGUAUUUGUUCUUUUGAGAACUCAUUCUUAACGUCUUACGAGCGUACUAUACGUAUUUAUUUGCUUAAGUUGCAAAGCCUGUAAAACGCACGCUCGUUUUAUACAACGAACGCUUAAAACAGUGCAAAUACAUUCCAAAUAGUGUGCUUUUGACACCACAAAAGCAUUUGAUCUUUUGAGAAUUCAUUCGCA